RNAcentral lists this ribosomal RNA (506 nucleotides) under uncultured bacterium. RNAcentral describes it as "partial 16S ribosomal RNA". It matches the Rfam family "Bacterial small subunit ribosomal RNA", at positions 30 to 523 of the family's 1533-position model. The record is from RNAcentral.
AUUGAACGCUGGCGGCAGGCCUAACACAUGCAAGUCGAACGGUAACAGGAAACAGCUUGCUGUUUCGCUGACGAGUGGCGGACGGGUGAGUAAUGUCUGGGAAACUGCCUGAUGGAGGGGGAUAACUACUGGAAACGGUAGCUAAUACCGCAUAACGUCGCAAGACCAAAGAGGGGGACCUUCGGGCCUCUUGCCAUCGGAUGUGCCCAGAUGGGAUUAGCUUGUUGGUGGGGUAACGGCUCACCAAGGCGACGAUCCCUAGCUGGUCUGAGAGGAUGACCAGCCACACUGGAACUGAGACACGGUCCAGACUCCUACGGGAGGCAGCAGUGGGGAAUAUUGCACAAUGGGCGCAAGCCUGAUGCAGCCAUGCCGCGUGUAUGAAGAAGGCCUUCGGGUUGUAAAGUACUUUCAGCGGGGAGGAAGGGAGUAAAGUUAAUACCUUUACUCAUUGACGUUACCCGCAGAAGAAGCACCGGCUAACUCCGUGCCAGCCGCCGCAGUAA